Long non-coding RNA from Microtus oregoni (creeping vole), 416 nucleotides. RefSeq lists it as uncharacterized. The record is from RefSeq and is a predicted model, not a curated record. Lineage: Eukaryota; Metazoa; Chordata; Mammalia; Rodentia; Cricetidae. The transcript has 3 exons.
CUCUGCUCUGCCAACACCACCCUGCUUGCCUGGUUUUGUCUCCCUAAGAAAUCUCACAGAGACAUUCAACACUUUCUGCCAUCAGCUCAGGAAAGCUGGCGUCUAGUGGACUUCUACAUCAGUCUCCUGCUUCAGGAACACGAUGGACGGUCACUCACACAGACCACAGAUAGGGCACCGCGACACGCCGACAGCACAGUGCUGGGUAAUCUAUACAGACGUUUCUCCAGGUAACCAAGAUUUACCAGGAACCAGUUCGGCAUCAAACCUCCAUGAAGAAGAGACCUACAGAAGUUCCACUUCCGGAAGAAAAGGUCACUGGUCAUCACAGAGGGAGGUCUCGACAAAAGCUCAAAACAGGAACUCUGCUCUCAGACUCACGCUCCUCCAGCUUGCACCUGCCCAGGGAUGGUACC